RNAcentral lists this ribosomal RNA (573 nucleotides) under uncultured bacterium. Its description in RNAcentral is "partial 16S ribosomal RNA". It matches the Rfam family "Bacterial small subunit ribosomal RNA", at positions 355 to 920 of the family's 1533-position model. The record is from RNAcentral.
UGGGGAAUUUUGGACAAUGGGCGAAAGCCUGAUCCAGCAAUGCCGCGUGUGUGAAGAAGGCCUUCGGGUUGUAAAGCACUUUUGUCCGGAAAGAAAUCCUUGGCUCUAAUACAGUCGGGGGAUGACGGUACCGGAAGAAUAAGCACCGGCUAACUACGUGCCAGCAGCCGCGGUAAUACGUAGGGUGCAAGCGUUAAUCGGAAUUACUGGGCGUAAAGCGUGCGCAGGCGGUUUGCUAAGACCGAUGUGAAAUCCCCGGGCUCAACCUGGGAACUGCAUUGGUGACUGGCAGGCUAGAGUAUGGCAGAGGGGGGUAGAAUUCCACGUGUAGCAGUGAAAUGCGUAGAGAUGUGGAGGAAUACCGAUGGCGAAGGCAGCCCCUGGGCCAAUACUGACGCUCAUGCACGAAAGCGUGGGGAGCAAAACAGGAUUAGAUACCCUGGUAGUCCACGCCCUAAAACGAUGUCAACUAGUUGUUGGGGAUUCAUUUCCUUAGUAACGUAGCUAACGCGUGAAGUUGACCGCCUGGGGAGUACGGUCGCAAGAUUAAAACUUAAAGGAAUUGACGGGGUC